RNAcentral lists this ribosomal RNA (200 nucleotides) under uncultured bacterium. RNAcentral's name for it is "partial 16S ribosomal RNA". It matches the Rfam family "Bacterial small subunit ribosomal RNA", at positions 29 to 259 of the family's 1533-position model. The record is from RNAcentral.
AACGAAUGCUGGCGGCAGGCUUAACACAUGCAAGUCGAACGCCCCGCAAGGGGAGUGGCAGACGGGUGAGUAACGCGUGGGAAUCUACCUAGUUCUACGGAACAACACAGGGAAACUUGUGCUAAUACCGUAUACGCCCUACGGGGAAAGAUUUAUCGGAAUUAGAUGAGCCCGCGUAAGAUUAGCUAGUUGGUGGGGUA